Orcinus orca (killer whale) is the source of this 375-nucleotide long non-coding RNA. RefSeq lists it as uncharacterized. The transcript is spliced from 2 exons. Lineage: Eukaryota; Metazoa; Chordata; Mammalia; Artiodactyla; Delphinidae. The record is from RefSeq and is a predicted model, not a curated record.
GGCAGUGUGGGACUCGAGGGACAUUGUUCCAGCUAAUGAUUAAGAACUCUCCAAACAAUAGGGGCUUCUUAGACAAUGGGUGAAUUUCCAGGAUGUCCGGCCCCCUUCCGAGAAGGAGGGAGAUAACAAAAUGUAAAAAAGGUGUCUGUCAAAGACCAAUCAGGCAGCUGGGGACAAGUUCCCUCUCUGGUCCGAGCCUAAGCCGGGACCAAUCAGCAGGAGAACACAACCAAAUCUAUAAUUUACAUACGGGGAAGUGGGAACCUAUAAAACUGACAUAUUCGCGCCCAAAAGGGGUUCCUUCUUCGACCUCCUGCGUGAGGACCAAGGAACCCCGGUGCACCGGCCUUCAAUAAACCUCUUGCGUUUUGCAUC